Molecule: ribosomal RNA, 262 nt
Filed under: Priestia megaterium
Lineage: Bacteria; Bacillati; Bacillota; Bacilli; Caryophanales; Bacillaceae
Description: Bacillus megaterium partial 23S ribosomal RNA
Rfam family: Bacterial large subunit ribosomal RNA
Source: RNAcentral
GAGGAGCUGUCCUUAGUACGAGAGGACCGGGAUGGACACACCGCUGGUGUACCAGUUGUCUUGCCAAAGGCAUCGCUGGGUAGCUAUGUGUGGACGGGAUAAGUGCUGAAAGCAUCUAAGCAUGAAGCCCCCCUCAAGAUGAGAUUUCCCAUAGCGCAAGCUAGUAAGAUCCCUGAAAGAUGAUCAGGUUGAUAGGUCAGAGGUGGAAGCGUGGCGACAUGUGUAGCUGACUGAUACUAAUCGAUCGAGGACUUAACCAAAC